RNAcentral lists this ribosomal RNA (465 nucleotides) under uncultured bacterium. RNAcentral's name for it is "partial 16S ribosomal RNA". It matches the Rfam family "Bacterial small subunit ribosomal RNA", at positions 28 to 507 of the family's 1533-position model. The record is from RNAcentral.
GACGAACGCUGGCGGCGUGCUUAACACAUGCAAGUCGAACGGAAAGGCCCCUUUGGGGGUUCUCGAGUGGCGAACGGGUGAGUAACACGUGAGUAACCUGCCCUUGACUUCGGGAUAACUUCAGGAAACUGGGGCUAAUACCGGAUAGGAAUCCUUGCUGCAUGGUGGGGGUUGGAAAGCUUCGGCGGUUUUGGAUGGACUCGCGGCUUAUCAGCUUGUUGGUGGGGUAGUGGCUUACCAAGGCUUUGACGGGUAGCCGGCCUGAGAGGGCGACCGGCCACAUUGGGACUGAGGUACGGCCCAGACUCCUACGGGAGGCAGCAGUGGGGAAUAUUGCACAAUGGGCGGAAGCCGGAUGCAGCAACGCCGCGGGCGGGAUGACGGCCUUCGGGUUGAAAACCGCUUUCAGCAGGGGCGAAGCUUGUGGUGACGGUACCUGCAGAAGAAGCACCGGCUAACUACGUG